AAACCAACAGGGAUUGCCUUAGUAACGGCGAGUGAAGCGGCAAAAGCUCAAAUUUGAAAUCUGGCGCCUUCGGUGUCCGAGUUGUAAUUUGAAGAAGGUAACUUUGGAGUUGGCUCUUGUCUAUGUUCCUUGGAACAGGACGUCACAGAGGGUGAGAAUCCCGUGCGAUGAGAUGCCCAAUUCUAUGUAAAGUGCUUUCGAAGAGUCGAGUUGUUUGGGAAUGCAGCUCUAAGUGGGUGGUAAAUUCCAUCUAAAGCUAAAUAUUGGCGAGAGACCGAUAGCGAACAAGUACAGUGAUGGAAAGAUGAAAAGAACUUUGAAAAGAGAGUGAAAAAGUACGUGAAAUUGUUGAAAGGGAAGGGCUUGAGAUCAGACUUGGUAUUUUGCGAUCCUUUCCUUCUUGGUUGGGUUCUCCGCAGCUUACUGGGCCAGCAUCGGUUUGGAUGGUAGGAUAAUGAUUAAGGAAUGUGGCUCUACUUCGGUGGAGUGUUAUAGCCUUGGUUGAUACUGCCUGUCUAGACCGAGGACUGCGUCUUUGACUAGGAUGCUGGCAUAAUGAUCUUAAGCC
Molecule: ribosomal RNA, 568 nt
Filed under: Debaryomyces nepalensis
Lineage: Eukaryota; Fungi; Ascomycota; Pichiomycetes; Serinales; Debaryomycetaceae
Description: partial large subunit ribosomal RNA
Rfam family: Eukaryotic large subunit ribosomal RNA
Source: RNAcentral